AUCAACGCUGGCGGCGUGCCUCAGACAUGCAAGUCGAACGAUUAAAGCUCUCUUCGGAGAGUGCAUAAAGUGGCGCACGGGUGAGUAACACGUAAGUAAUCUACCUCUGAGUGGGGAAUAACGUCCGGAAACGGACGCUAAUACCGCAUAAUGCAGCGGCAUCAUAAGAUGACAGUUGUUAAAGAUUUAUCGCUUAGAGGGGAGCUUGCGGCAGAUUAGCUAGUUGGUAAGGUAACGGCUUACCAAGGCUACGAUCUGUAACCGGUCUUAGAGGACGGUCGGUCACACUGACACUGAAUAACGGGUCAGACUCCUACGGGAGGCAGCAGUCGGGAAUUUUGGGCAAUGGGCGAAAGCCUGACCCAGCAACGCCGCGUGAAGGAUGAAGUAUUUCGGUAUGUAAACUUCGAAAGAAUAGGAAGAAUAAAUGACGGUACUAUUUAUAAGGUCCGGCUAACUACGUGCCAGCAGCCGCGGUAAUACGUAGGGACCAAGCGUUGUUCGGAUUUACUGGGCGUAAAGGGCGCGUAGGCGGCAUGACAAGUCACUUGUGAAAUCUCCGGGCUUAACUCGGAACGGCCAAGUGAUACUGUCACGCUAGAGUAUUGGAGGGGCAAUCGGAAUUCUUGGUGUAGCGGUGAAAUGCGUAGAUAUCAAGAGGAACACCUGAGGUGAAGACGGGUUGCUGGCCAAAUACUGACGCUGAGGCGCGAAAGCCAGGGGAGCAAGCGGGAUUAGAUACCCCGGUAGUCCUGGCCCUAAACGAUGAAUACUUGGUGUCUGGAGUUUUUAAACUCUGGGUGCCGUCGCUAACGUUUUAAGUAUUCCGCCUGGGGAGUACGCUCGCAAGAGUGAAACUCAAAGGAAUUGACGGGGACCCGCACAAGCGGUGGAGCAUGUGGUU
This 904-nucleotide ribosomal RNA is filed under the name uncultured bacterium. RNAcentral's name for it is "bacterial SSU rRNA". It matches the Rfam family "Bacterial small subunit ribosomal RNA", at positions 29 to 946 of the family's 1533-position model. The record is from RNAcentral.